Solanum tuberosum (potato) is the source of this 233-nucleotide long non-coding RNA. RefSeq lists it as uncharacterized. The record is from RefSeq and is a predicted model, not a curated record. NCBI's taxonomy places the organism in Eukaryota, Viridiplantae, Streptophyta, Magnoliopsida, Solanales, Solanaceae. The transcript has 3 exons.
ACCAUUGGCAAGGAGCAUCUCCGUGCCUAGAUUCUCGGAGAAGCCGAAAACAAGGCUUGACUGUGGCUCGGAAAAUGGCAUAAAAAAAUUUCCCAUGAAUUUUUACUAUGACGGAAAAACUUCUAGUCUCAAUGUCUCUAUGGAUAAGGCAGCAAAUAUUCUAGCGUUUGCAGAAAGGUCAAAAUUUAAUGAUGCAUUAUCAUCCGGAAAAAAAAUCUCUGUGGAAACAUUAA